RNAcentral lists this unclassified non-coding RNA (204 nucleotides) under uncultured fungus. Its description in RNAcentral is "sequence contains ITS1". The record is from RNAcentral. Lineage: Eukaryota; Fungi.
ACAAAUCAAAUUGUGGUGUGGAUGUGAUUGAUUUAUUCUUUGAUGAUGUAAGGUGUUGAGUUCAGCACUCUAUAUCCACAGAGUAUAACGUCAAUCUCACAUACACCUAACAUUUGUGCUCCAGGCAUUUCGUCUGGGUGCAAUUAUAUAUCAUAUAUAUAUUCAUUAUUGUCAGUUGUUUGUCUAUUUUUUAAAUUUAUAAUC